UGGCUCAGCCUCCAGGGAACAACUGGGCUGCUAUUCAUAGAAAAGCCUGCUAUUAGCAUCUGCCUGGCAUUUGAAUUAGGCUCACCUAACUGCCUUCCCCACAGAUAUUGCUGAGCUCAGUUGCUGAACACUGAGGGGCUGAGGUUGCAUGUGACCGUUCAUGAUCAGCCCUCCACCCACAGUCCUGCUACCUGGAGAGUCACGGAGGUCCUAGUGUGGUCCUGAGCUGAGGGCAGGAGACGCAAGCAGGAAAGUGAAAUUUGAACUGAGGAGAAGGACCAGCAGAGCCGAAGAAAGAACAAAGGGAGAAGCAGCAGCAGUGGGGGCGGCGGGGGUGGGGGCACCAUGUCUUGUCCUUAGGCUGGCAUCACCAGGCUGAGCCCCAAGCUGAGAAAAGGGAACGAGGUCUUUUGCUGUUGAAGAGAAGAUUCUGGAACAGUUCUUCGCCUAAUCUUCCACAUACGAGGGUGUGAAAGAUGUGGACCCCAUGGGAAUUGAGUUUUCCCCUCUCCCAAGGGGGCAGAAAACGCACAAAAUAGAAGUUUGGCUUUAAGGGUUAGGGUGCAGAGUCCCGAGCUCUCCAAAAUCAAAGACAAAGCUGCUCCCAGCUGGUGACUCUUAGGCCAUGCCACCCUUGUCAGUAACGUUUGGGAAGGUGGCAAUGGCAUCCUCUGCUGAGCCCUGUGGGGCCCAGUCCUUAGGCUGUAGAGGAGGAGGUCCCCUCAGCCAUUCCAGGAUAUUCAUGUGCCCAUACAAGGCACUCGGCAUGCUGUGUGUGAAGGUACAAUAGAGCCACAAGACAGGGGCAUACUGAGAGACUGGUGACAAACUGCCAUUAGGAAAGACACUAGUGAUGGAAACAAAUCUUUGAAACCAAACCAAGCCUUUCCUGCUAAAUAUUACUCUCCGGCUAUGAUACACGUUCUGUGCAACCAACAAAUGGGUCUGUGUGACUCCCACCAUCUACGGAAAUUCAAGGGUCCUAGAUUUCAUCUUCUCCUUACUCUAAGCCUCUAGUCCUGGGCCAGGAUGAUGGAGGUUACCUGAACUCCAUGAGCUCACUUGUUGACAUUGCUUCUCUAAUCAGAAUGUAAAAUUCAAGUCCCACACGCCCUUAAAUGACCUGUCAUGAUUGCACAAGGAUUGUUAACACUCCCUAGGUUGUAUGAGAGGCAGAGGAAAGGAUUAGCCAA
Molecule: long non-coding RNA, 1193 nt
Organism: Mus caroli (Ryukyu mouse)
Lineage: Eukaryota; Metazoa; Chordata; Mammalia; Rodentia; Muridae
Source: RefSeq, a predicted model, not a curated record